Molecule: unclassified non-coding RNA, 304 nt
Filed under: uncultured fungus
Lineage: Eukaryota; Fungi
Description: partial contains small subunit ribosomal RNA, internal transcribed spacer 1, and 5.8S ribosomal RNA
Rfam family: Eukaryotic small subunit ribosomal RNA (bases 1-73)
Source: RNAcentral
GCAAACUUGGUCAUUUAGAGGAAGUAAAAGUCGUAACAAGGUUUCCGUAGGUGAACCUGCGGAAGGAUCAUUAUUGAGUUUUACUGUUGGGGACUGUGCUGGCCCCCCCCAGGGCAUUGUGCACGUCUCCUUCACUUUCCACACCCCAUGUGCACAACAGUGGGUGGUGGCCCUCCCAGAUGGGGGAGGCCGCUUGCCCCUUUUAACAUGCGCUUUUUUUUAUGUAACUGGGAUGUCUAUUUUUUAAAUGGAAACAACUUUCAACAACGGAUCUCUUGGCUCUCGCAUCGAUGAAGAACGCAGC